This 465-nucleotide ribosomal RNA is filed under the name uncultured bacterium. RNAcentral's name for it is "partial 16S ribosomal RNA". It matches the Rfam family "Bacterial small subunit ribosomal RNA", at positions 28 to 507 of the family's 1533-position model. The record is from RNAcentral.
GACGAACGCUGGCGGCGUGCUUAACACAUGCAAGUCGUACGGUAAGGCCCUUUCGGGGGUACACGAGUGGCGAACGGGUGAGUAACACGUGAGUAACCUGCCCACAACUUUGGGAUAACGCUAGGAAACUGGUGCUAAUACUGGAUAUGUGCUCCUGCUGCAUGGUGGGGGUUGGAAAGCUCCGGCGGUUGUGGAUGGACUCGCGGCCUAUCAGCUUGUUGGUGGGGUAGUGGCCUACCAAGGCGGCGACGGGUAGCCGGCCUGAGAGGGUGACCGGCCACAUUGGGACUGAGAUACGGCCCAGACUCCUACGGGAGGCAGCAGUGGGGAAUAUUGCACAAUGGGCGCAAGCCUGAUGCAGAAACGCCGCGGGCGGGAUGACGGCCUUCGGGUUGUAAACCGCUUUCAGCAGGGACGAAGCUUUUUGUGACGGUACCUGCAGAAGAAGCACCGGCUAACUACGUG